Molecule: ribosomal RNA, 490 nt
Filed under: uncultured bacterium
Lineage: Bacteria
Description: partial 16S ribosomal RNA
Rfam family: Bacterial small subunit ribosomal RNA
Source: RNAcentral
AGUGAACGCUGGCGGUAGGCCUAACACAUGCAAGUCGAACGGCAGCACAGGAGAGCUUGCUCUCUGGGUGGCGAGUGGCGGACGGGUGAGGAAUACAUCGGAAUCUGCCCAGUCGUGGGGGAUAACGUAGGGAAACUUACGCUAAUACCGCAUACGACCUUCGGGUGAAAGAGGGGGAUCGCAAGACCUCUCGCGAUUGGAUGAGCCGAUGUCGGAUUAGCUAGUUGGCGGGGUAAUGGCCCACCAAGGCGACGAUCCGUAGCUGGUCUGAGAGGAUGAUCAGCCACACUGGAACUGAGACACGGUCCAGACUCCUACGGGAGGCAGCAGUGGGGAAUAUUGGACAAUGGGCGCAAGCCUGAUCCAGCCAUACCGCGUGGGUGAAGAAGGCCUUCGGGUUGUAAAGCCCUUUUGUUGGGAAAGAAAUCUUUCAGGCUAAUACCCUGGGAGUAUGACGGUACCCAAAGAAUAAGCACCGGCUAACUUCGUG